CACGUCAGCGCGCUUUGCUGACGUGGCAACAAAUCGCGUCCACGAGGGGGCGAUUUGUUGCCACAUCAGCAAAGCAUGCUGACGUGG
Molecule: microRNA precursor, 87 nt
Organism: Gossypium raimondii (Peruvian cotton)
Lineage: Eukaryota; Viridiplantae; Streptophyta; Magnoliopsida; Malvales; Malvaceae
Rfam family: MIR7486 microRNA precursor family
Source: Rfam